RNAcentral lists this non-coding RNA (45 nucleotides) under Schistosoma mattheei. The record is from RNAcentral. Lineage: Eukaryota; Metazoa; Platyhelminthes; Trematoda; Strigeidida; Schistosomatidae.
AUUCAGCUGAAGAGUCCCAUAUAGGUCGAAACGCGUGUCCUGGAU